This 884-nucleotide long non-coding RNA is filed under the name Bos indicus x Bos taurus (hybrid cattle). Its description in RNAcentral is "lncRNA (ENSBIXG00000009729.1)". The record is from RNAcentral. Lineage: Eukaryota; Metazoa; Chordata; Mammalia; Artiodactyla; Bovidae.
GGGACAGGCUGCCGACGGCGGCGUCAGCACCGCCAGGCGGAGGCAGAUUCUUUACCAUCUGAGUCACCAAAGUGGAGAUGAAACCUUGAAGGAACCACCAAGGGGGCUCACAGGCUGGCCUGCUGACCUGCAGCUGCUCUGAGACUGCUUGGAAUUAGCCAGUGCGUGCAGGUGCAUUCAGGGCCCACCCGAUUUCUCACCGGGGUGCUGACCGUGAUCCAGGGAAAUGCCCAGGAGACCCCGCCAGCAGAGCCCAAGGGCAUUGCUGUGACCGGCAGGAACUGGCCCCACACCCCUGUGGCCUCCUCGCCCAACCGGCUCCCCGGCUCAUCUUGGCGGCUCCAGACUCUGAGGGGCCUCGCAGACAGAGCUGGCCAUUCUUGGACACCCUCGUGCCAACUCCGAGGGCACGUCAGCUCCUCCGCUCUCUGGCUCGGGUGCGGUGCCAGCUGGGCCCAGCUUGCGGGGGGCACUGGCUCUUCCCCAGGCCCACACCACUGGCCUGCCGUCCACCCUGCCAAGGAGGCCACGGCUUCGAGCAGAGCAGAGGGCGGGGGCCGGGAUGGAAGGCCACCCCUGCCUUGACCUCUAGUGCGAAGGCCGCCCUGAACUCCGUCUUGUGAAAGGGAGUUCCUUUGACCCAUGUCUUCUGUGGACCGUUCAGGUGGCCUGCCAGUGCAGGAGAUGUAAGAGCCCUGGGUUCCAUCCCUGGGUCGGAAGAUCCCCUGGAGGAGGGCAUGGCAACCCCCUACAGUGUUUUUGCCUGGAGCAUCCCAGGGAUGGAGGAGCUACAGUCUGUGGGGUUGCAGAGUUAGACACGCCUGAAGCGGCUCGGCACGCAGGCAGCACGCGCCUCCUCUGGCCACGCGAAUCCCCAGGGCACU